This 736-nucleotide long non-coding RNA is filed under the name Homo sapiens (human). Its description in RNAcentral is "HSALNT0308720". Lineage: Eukaryota; Metazoa; Chordata; Mammalia; Primates; Hominidae. The record is from RNAcentral.
AAGAAUCAUGGGAAAGAGGCAAGCCCAUGAAGUCCUAGCAACAAGUCUCCUGCCUCUAAAAUUACGCUCCACAAGACAAACUCAUCCACUCCUCCGUCUUCUCAUCCCCAAGGCCUAAGACAUCUCUGACCUUAUCUCCAAAUACAGUCACCUUCCAAGAUACUGAGGAUUAAGACAUCAACAUAUGGAUUUAAGGGGACACAAUUCAACCCCUUGCAAAGAGCUACAGAUAUCUUUAUUCUACUACUCAUAAAAUGUCUUAGGAAUACAAUAGCCAUUAGAACAUUAACUGGUUGCAAAAGGUUGAAUUGCUGAAGAAACCAGCUGUUUUUCAGAAAGAGAAAAAGCUUUCAUGCAGCAUUCUUCAUUUAGAAGUGGAAUCUCCCUCUGUCAACCAGGCUGGAGUGCAUUGGCUUGAUGUCAGAUCUUGGAUCACCGCAGCCUCCGUCUCCUGGGUUCAAGUGAUUCUCCCGCCUCAGCCUCUCGAGCAGCUGGGACUACAGGAAGGCACCACCAUGCCUGGCUAAUUAUAAGUCUUUUGACUCACUCUUGUUCGUCCUACUUUCUUUUGCUUUUAUAUUCCAGUCAAACCAAAUUUCUCAUGGCUUUACGCAACUUUGACUUUAUAAGUUCUGCCCUACCAGCCUCUUGGACUUACCUUCUCUAUUUUUAACUGCCUAGUUCUUAUUAAAGACUGAAGUAAAGCACCUGCUUUCUGUGAAGCAUUUCUUCCAAC